This 494-nucleotide ribosomal RNA is filed under the name uncultured bacterium. RNAcentral's name for it is "partial 16S ribosomal RNA". It matches the Rfam family "Bacterial small subunit ribosomal RNA", at positions 31 to 507 of the family's 1533-position model. The record is from RNAcentral.
GAACGCUGGCGGCGUGCCUAAUACAUGCAAGUCGAGCGAACAGACGAGGAGCUUGCUCCUCUGACGUUAGCGGCGGACGGGUGAGUAACACGUGGAUAACCUACCUAUAAGACUGGGAUAACUUCGGGAAACCGGAGCUAAUACCGGAUAAUAUAUUGAACCGCAUGGUUCAAUAGUGAAAGACGGUUUUGCUGUCACUUAUAGAUGGAUCCGCGCCGCAUUAGCUAGUUGGUAAGGUAACGGCUUACCAAGGCAACGAUGCGUAGCCGACCUGAGAGGGUGAUCGGCCACACUGGAACUGAGACACGGUCCAGACUCCUACGGGAGGCAGCAGUAGGGAAUCUUCCGCAAUGGGCGAAAGCCUGACGGAGCAACGCCGCGUGAGUGAUGAAGGUCUUCGGAUCGUAAAACUCUGUUAUUAGGGAAGAACAAAUGUGUAAGUAACUAUGCACGUCUUGACGGUACCUAAUCCGAAAGCCACGGCUAACUACGUG